GAAUACCUGCCAAACGCACACAGAGACAGAGGAAGAAUUAGACCAGUAGUCGUGGUGUUCGUGCGAGGACUAACCUUUAUUCUUUGUAGUCUGUUAAUUUCCCCUGAAAACAGCAGCAGGUAGAGGAUGUCCGGGAAGUUUUUGGAUAUUCCUAAUAUUGUUUGAGACAAAGACAAUCACAACAUUUAGCCACUGCAACCGUCUCCCUUUAGAAUCGCAGUGUCUUAAUAUUUUUCCAUUAAAAAAAGACACUGAAUGUUUACUUGCGUAAACAACUUUUCAUCAUUUUCACCUGCAUAAAAAUGGUUAAAAACGACAAGAAAUGAAUCCGAUACCAGAUGUUUUGUACACAAAUUACAGAUUGAGCAGCAUCUAUCAAAAACUGGUGUGGAUACGAGUGCAAAAAUCACCUUAGGACAAGUUCAAUGUAUAUACACUUUACAAUCCCAGCAUUAAAAAAAACAUACAUGGCAGGAAGCAACAACCUGUUAUUUAUCACGCGUCAUCCCUUCAUUCCCAGCCUUUUCUGCACAGUGAGUUUUUGAUAUUGAUAAACAGAUGAUUUGAUGUUGAUAUGCU
This is a long non-coding RNA of Poecilia latipinna (sailfin molly), 579 nucleotides long. RefSeq lists it as uncharacterized. The transcript is spliced from 3 exons. Lineage: Eukaryota; Metazoa; Chordata; Actinopteri; Cyprinodontiformes; Poeciliidae. The record is from RefSeq and is a predicted model, not a curated record.